AGAGUUUGAUCCUGGCUCAGUUCGGAUUGGAGUCUGCAACCCGACUCCAUGAAGCUGGAUUCGCUAGUAAUCGCGCAUCAGCCACGGCGCGGUGAAUACGUUCCCGGGCCUUGCACUCACCGCCGGUCAAGGGCGAAUUCGUUUAAACCUGCAGGACUAGU
This 161-nucleotide ribosomal RNA is filed under the name uncultured bacterium. RNAcentral describes it as "partial 16S ribosomal RNA". It matches the Rfam family "Bacterial small subunit ribosomal RNA", at positions 1272 to 1433 of the family's 1533-position model. The record is from RNAcentral.